This 381-nucleotide unclassified non-coding RNA is filed under the name soil metagenome. RNAcentral describes it as "partial contains 5.8S ribosomal RNA, internal transcribed spacer 2, and large subunit ribosomal RNA". The stretch from base 1 to 120 matches the Rfam family "5.8S ribosomal RNA", at positions 35 to 154 of the family's 154-position model. The record is from RNAcentral.
GAUGAAGAACGCAGUGAAAUGCGAUAAGUAGUGUGAAUUGCAGAAUUCAGUGAAUCAUCGAAUCUUUGAACGCACCUUGCGCUCCUUGGUAUUCCGAGGAGCAUGCCUGUUUGAGUGUCAUUAAUAUAUCAACCUCUUCAGCUUAUGCUUGUUGAGUGUUGGAUGGUGGGGGUUUGCUGGUGUCUUAUGAAGUCAGCUCCUCUGAAAUGCAUUAGCGGAACAAUUUGUUGACCGUUCAUUGGUGUGAUAAAAAUAUCUACGCUAUUGACGUCAGUCAGUUCAGCUUCUAACAGUCCAUUGACUUGGACAAAUUUUUCAUUAAUGUGACCUCAAAUCAGGUAGGACUACCCGCUGAACUUAAGCAUAUCAAUAAGCGGAGGA